ACCCAGCUGGCUCAGUCCGUAGAGCAUCUGACUCUUGAUCUCAGGGUUGUGAGUUCAAGACCCACGUUGGGCA
This 73-nucleotide transfer RNA is filed under the name Felis catus (domestic cat). It matches the Rfam family "tRNA". From Rfam's summary of the family: Transfer RNA (tRNA) molecules are approximately 80 nucleotides in length. Their secondary structure includes four short double-helical elements and three loops (D, anti-codon, and T loops). The record is from Rfam by way of RNAcentral. Lineage: Eukaryota; Metazoa; Chordata; Mammalia; Carnivora; Felidae.